RNAcentral lists this ribosomal RNA (975 nucleotides) under Triticum aestivum (bread wheat). Its description in RNAcentral is "partial small subunit ribosomal RNA". The record is from RNAcentral. Lineage: Eukaryota; Viridiplantae; Streptophyta; Magnoliopsida; Poales; Poaceae.
AUGAAAUCUCGUAGCGAGGUUCUCUCUAUAUACAAACAUUUUGCUGCCAUGAUUCGCACCCAGUUUUCCACGCCCAUUCGUACUUUUCGUGCGGACUCCGCUAGUGAGUUUAUCUCUCAGCUGUUGCGUGGUUUUCUUGCAAAACAGGGUACUCUUGCCCAGUUCUCAUGUCCUGGUGCUCAUGCUCAGAACGGCGUUGCCAAACAUAAGCAUCGUCAUCUACUUGAAACGGCUCGUGCAUUGAUGAUUGCCGCUUCCCUUCUGCCUCACUUUUGGGCUAAGGCUGUUUCUGCAUCCACUUAUCUCAUCAACAUUCAGCCCUCUACUGCUUUGCAAGGUGGUAUUCCUAUGGAAUGUCUCACUGGACGUUCCCCUGACUAUUCCGCUCUUCGGAUGUUUGGAUGUGUGUGUUAUGUCCUUCUUGCCCCCCGAGAACGCACCAAACUGACUGCUCAGUCGGUUGAGUGUGUCUUUCUUGGCUACAGUGAUGAGCACAAGGGCUAUCGAUGUUGGGAUCAUGUGGGUCGUCGCUUGCGCAUCUCGCGUGAUGUGACAUUUGACGAGUCUCGUUCUUACUACCCAUGUUCUCCUUCCUCGAGUUUCUCUGUGGAUGACAUUUCUUUCCUGCUCUUCCUGACACACCCAGCUAUGUGCCUUAUGUGUCACCUCUUCCUCCGGCACCUCUCAUUCCUUCUCAUUCCCCACCGACACCGUCUACUUCAUCCUCCUCCUCCACCUCUCCACCAGCAUCUCCAGUUCGUCGCUCUCUCUCACCGUUCCCUCUCUACUAUACUAGCCGAUCUUGUACUGAGGAUGUCUCCUCUGACGAGCCUUCCACCUCUGGUGCACCUCCUCUCACGCCUCCCCCGGUUCACAACCUUCGUGCUUGGCCUCGCCCCCCGUCUGAUCGCUACUCCCGUACUCGAUAUGGUCUCUCUGCUAUUGCUGAGCCCACUUCCUACCGAACUGCCAUGA